Molecule: long non-coding RNA, 679 nt
Organism: Cryptomeria japonica (Japanese cedar)
Lineage: Eukaryota; Viridiplantae; Streptophyta; Pinopsida; Cupressales; Cupressaceae
Exons: 3
Source: RefSeq, a predicted model, not a curated record
AUGAGCUCCUAUUUAGUGAGUGAUCUUGUGGAUGCUUAUCAGGCUCUCUCUACAUUACAUGGGAUCACUCCUCAGCAGCUGAUUGAGUUCAUUGGAUGAGUACUUCAGAGAUCCUCGACUAGUACCAACCAUGGUGGAGGAGAUUCAGAGCCUAGUAGUUCCAGGCAGGAGGAUAUUUCGAUACCUCCUACAACUCCCGAGACUACAGUGCAUCCUACACCACAGACUCUAGGAGUUCGGCGAAGAGGUUUUUCAUCUGUUCUUAAGGAUGACUUUACUGAUCCAGAUGCUGUGUCAUUACACUCUUCGGAGAUAUCUAGGAUCGGGUGUGCAUUCGAGGAGAGGAAUAAGGAGAUUAUGAUGGUCGUGAGAUAUGAAGAUUUGCAGGCACCUGGUGAUCCUAUUCAUCAGGAAUACAUAGGCCCCUGGAGUAGGUGAUGGAUCAGAUCGGGGAUCGGGACAGGGCGCGACAUAGCUCAUUAUUGUUAUAUACAUUCUUGCUUCUUUUAUUCUGAAUAUAUCUGACAUUUCUACUAUGUAUAUGUUGUGGACAUUUCUAUUAUAUGGAUAUAUCUGACAUUUAUACAUGUUGUGAACAUUAUAUUUCUAUUAUGCACUCGAUUUCUAUUAUACAUGAACUAUGGACAUUGCAUUUGUAGCCUUAUUUUAGACAUUAUAC